UGCCAGCCGCCGCGGUAAUACGGAGGGGGCAAGCGUUGUUCGGAUUUACUGGGCGUAAAGGGUGUGUAGGCGGGUAAAUAAGUGAAACGUGAAAUCCUGAGGCUCAACCUCAGAACUGCGUUUCAAACUAUUUGUCUUGAGUAUGGGGGAGGUAAGUGGAAUUCUCAGUGUAGCGGUGAAAUGCGUAGAUAUUGAGAAGAACACCAAAAGCGAAGGCAACUUACUAUCCUAAUACUGACGCUGAGGCACGAAGGCGAGGGUAGCAAACAGGAUUAGAUA
Molecule: ribosomal RNA, 279 nt
Filed under: uncultured bacterium
Lineage: Bacteria
Description: partial 16S ribosomal RNA
Rfam family: Bacterial small subunit ribosomal RNA
Source: RNAcentral